RNAcentral lists this ribosomal RNA (253 nucleotides) under uncultured bacterium. RNAcentral's name for it is "partial 16S ribosomal RNA". It matches the Rfam family "Bacterial small subunit ribosomal RNA", at positions 524 to 776 of the family's 1533-position model. The record is from RNAcentral.
CACGUAGGCACCAAGCGUUGUCCGGAAUUAUUGGGCGUAAAGGGCUCGUAGGCGGUUUGUCGCGUCGGGAGUGAAAACAUCGGGCUUAACUCGAUGCUUGCUUUCGAUACGGGCAGACUUGAGGUAUGCAGGGGAGAAUGGAAUUCCUGGUGUAGCGGUGAAAUGCGCAGAUAUCAGGAGGAACACCGGUGGCGAAGGCGGGUCUCUGGGCCGAUACUGACGCUGAGGAGCGAAAGCGUGGGGAGCGAACAGG